CCCUUAGAUGUUCUGGGCUGCACACGUGCUACACUGGCAGGUUCAGCGAGCUUCAUGCCCUUAUCUGAAAGGAAUGGGAAAUCUUUUCAAAACCUGCCGUGCUUGGGAUAGAUGUUUGCAAUUAUUCAUCUUCAACGAGGAUUGCCUUGUAAGCGCACGUCAUCAGCGUGCAUUGAAUACGACCCUGUAUUCUGUACACACCGCCCGUCGCUCCUACCGAUUGAAGUUUUCGGUGAGUUGACAGGAGGAUUUUUUUGAAACUGGUUCGCCAGUGGAUUUUAGAUCCAAAUGCCAACGAAUCGAUGGCUUUAGAGGAAGGAGAAGUCGUAACA
This 332-nucleotide ribosomal RNA is filed under the name uncultured eukaryote. RNAcentral's name for it is "partial 18S ribosomal RNA". It matches the Rfam family "Eukaryotic small subunit ribosomal RNA", at positions 1470 to 1796 of the family's 1831-position model. The record is from RNAcentral.